Molecule: non-coding RNA, 24 nt
Filed under: Arabidopsis thaliana (thale cress)
Lineage: Eukaryota; Viridiplantae; Streptophyta; Magnoliopsida; Brassicales; Brassicaceae
Source: RNAcentral
GCCAGAGUCAUGGCGCAAGGAGAC